UCAAUGAUUUUUUAAAUUGCUGUGGUAUUUUGACUAUACGAAGGUAUUGAAAUAAGGUCUUAAAUGGAUGCUAAGAGAAUGGUUGAACAAAGAUUUUCUUUUUUAAAUUAAAUAUUAGAAGUUGGUUUUUAAGUGAAAAAACUUAAAUUAGAUUUUGGGACAAGAAGACCCUAUGAAUUUUAAUUAGGGGAAAUUUUUAAUUAAGUUUAAAAAUUUUUUUAGUUUGAUUGGGGUGAUUUUUAAAGAUUAAUAAUCUUUAAAUAUUGUAAGUUGAUCCAUUAUUAGUGGUUGUUUGAAAAAAAUACUCUAGGGAUAACAGCGUAAUAAUUUUGGAUAGUUCGUAUUGAUAAAAUUGAUUGCGACCUCGAUGUUGGAUUAAGAUACUUUUAUAAUGAAGAAGUUAUAAUAGGAAGUUUGCUC
Molecule: ribosomal RNA, 420 nt
Filed under: Argas monachus
Lineage: Eukaryota; Metazoa; Arthropoda; Arachnida; Ixodida; Argasidae
Description: partial 16S ribosomal RNA
Source: RNAcentral